RNAcentral lists this ribosomal RNA (333 nucleotides) under Triticum aestivum (bread wheat). Its description in RNAcentral is "partial small subunit ribosomal RNA". The record is from RNAcentral. Lineage: Eukaryota; Viridiplantae; Streptophyta; Magnoliopsida; Poales; Poaceae.
AUGGACUUUAACUCGGAUCUCAUGGCCUCCAGCCCUGCCUCAGAAUCUGGGCUCACCAUCGCUUCCGCUUACGUGGCCGGCUCAUCACUCUCUAGUAGCAAUACAUCACGCACUCUGCGCAAUCUUUCCGACCUCCAUGGUUCCAGUGCCGCUUCCACUACGGGUUCCCUGACUGACUCCGGUAUGAUCUUAUCACCAGCCGAGCCAUCCCCGAGUGGUUCUCGAAUUUCUUCAAGUCGAACCGUCCUCCCACUGGCCUCCCGACUGAGAAACUCUUUCUCAAGGAAAACCACGUUCCGAGCAACAAACACUUUGUUCUCUUCCCGGUUGUAG